CAUGGUGUAGCUCAGUGGCAGAGCAUUUGCCUAGCAUGUGUAAGGUCCUGGGUUCAGUCUCCAGCACCAUAU
This 72-nucleotide transfer RNA is filed under the name Marmota marmota marmota (Alpine marmot). It matches the Rfam family "tRNA". From Rfam's summary of the family: Transfer RNA (tRNA) molecules are approximately 80 nucleotides in length. Their secondary structure includes four short double-helical elements and three loops (D, anti-codon, and T loops). Lineage: Eukaryota; Metazoa; Chordata; Mammalia; Rodentia; Sciuridae. RNAcentral also lists the same sequence under 1 other name. The record is from Rfam by way of RNAcentral.